This 450-nucleotide ribosomal RNA is filed under the name uncultured bacterium. Its description in RNAcentral is "partial 16S ribosomal RNA". It matches the Rfam family "Bacterial small subunit ribosomal RNA", at positions 354 to 796 of the family's 1533-position model. The record is from RNAcentral.
GUGGGGAAUUUUGGACAAUGGGCGCAAGCCUGAUCCAGCCAUUCCGCGUGCAGGAUGAAGGCCUUCGGGUUGUAAACUGCUUUUGUACGGAACGAAAAGCCUCUGGUUAAUACCCUGGGCUAAUGACGGUACCGUAAGAAUAAGCACCGGCUAACUACGUGCCAGCAGCCGCGGUAAUACGUAGGGUGCAAGCGUUAAUCGGAAUUACUGGGCGUAAAGCGUGCGCAGGCGGUUUUGUAAGACAGGCGUGAAAUCCCCGGGCUCAACCUGGGAAUUGCGCUUGUGACUGCAAGGCUGGAGUGCGGCAGAGGGGGAUGGAAUUCCGCGUGUAGCAGUGAAAUGCGUAGAUAUGCGGAGGAACACCGAUGGCGAAGGCAAUCCCCUGGGCCUGCACUGACGCUCAUGCACGAAAGCGUGGGGAGCAAACAGGAUUAGAAACCCGUGUAGUCC